AUACUUCUGGGACUUGCCGAGGUGUUGGAAGCUUCCGUCCGGGAGUUUGCACGCGAGAUGAAACUGGAGAUAGUGUUAAGUUAGCAGCAAGCGCACAACCGGUGAAGGCGUAGUUUUGGAAGCAUCAUCGCGGCCUGGGAACAAAAUAAGGAUCCACCCGACAAGCAGUUAGCCGCAGAAGUCAUCACAGGACUGGACCAGAACAAGGAAGAGGAAGAGGAG
This is a long non-coding RNA of Selaginella moellendorffii, 222 nucleotides long. RefSeq lists it as uncharacterized. The record is from RefSeq and is a predicted model, not a curated record. Lineage: Eukaryota; Viridiplantae; Streptophyta; Lycopodiopsida; Selaginellales; Selaginellaceae. The transcript has 3 exons.